Molecule: small RNA, 629 nt
Filed under: Gracilibacillus halotolerans
Lineage: Bacteria; Bacillati; Bacillota; Bacilli; Caryophanales; Bacillaceae
Source: RNAcentral
UAGUGAAAAAUAUGGAAUGGUGCAGUAUUCUAGUCAAUCCUCCGUUUCUGAAGGCGGGCCUAAAAAUCCGCUAAAGGGCACAUCGAUGAAGUUCCUUGUGUAGGCUUGAAUCGCCCAGAUUUGGGUCUAUGCUGGGAGUUAAGGUUGAAGGGCGAUCCACAAAGGCAUGUGGGCGACGACCCUUCUUCCGUGGAGGCCCAUCUCUGUGUUUCUAACUUAGCCAGGUUAGGAAGACGGAAUGGGGUAUGAACCUGUGUUUAUGGGAGUUAGGGAUUCCUAUGCACAGCGUAGCCUGCCUUGCGUGGUGCGAGGGGGAAUACAGGUAUUAAAUUGUACCCUCAUAGGUGGCCACUAUGGAGUACAAUCUUAUGUAUGAAAUUCGCACUGCAAAAGAGGAUAGGAAGCGGUCAAAGAUUGUUGAGGAAAUCUCCUAGACUGUUCUCAAUGGACAUUUAAAAGGGAUUAUAGUAUGGACUAAGUGGUAAUCCAGUCUAGCAUACGGUGACGUAGCUAAAAUAGGUUUAAAGGGGAACCGCCAUCGUGGCAACACAUGGUACCUAUUUGGGAAAACCUACUGGACCUAAGCCAUAGUUUUUACCUUUUAAAUGACCAUUCCAUAUUACAUGAAU